GCACUGGUGGUUUAGUGGUAAAAUCCAUCGUUGCGUAAGUGAACUUUCGCUCUAAGCAAGUCUAAUAGGCAUACUGACAUUACCUAGCAUCGAUGGGCCCCGCGUUCGAUUCGCGGUCAGUGCA
Molecule: non-coding RNA, 124 nt
Organism: Verruconis gallopava
Lineage: Eukaryota; Fungi; Ascomycota; Dothideomycetes; Venturiales; Sympoventuriaceae
Source: the annotation of a RefSeq genome assembly